UUUAGACGCAGCCAUAAGUUUCUGUGUCCAACUUUAAUCAUUCGUCUUAUUUAACUUUUUUAAUAUUAGUAUUUUUUGUUGUUAUUAGAUGAUAAAACAUAAAUAGUACUUUAUGGGUGAUUUUUUUAAUUUUUUUUAAAUAAGACAAAUGAUUAAAGUUGGACACGAAAACUCAUAGCUGCGCUUAAA
Molecule: non-coding RNA, 189 nt
Organism: Oryza glumipatula
Lineage: Eukaryota; Viridiplantae; Streptophyta; Magnoliopsida; Poales; Poaceae
Source: Rfam